CAAAUUGUUUGAAACAAACAAACAACAACAAAAAACCUAAACACAGACAAUAAUCCACAGGCCAGAGAAAGGACACUCGCAAGGGUCCCAUGAAAUGAUUGACUACUUGCACUAUGUAAGAAAGAAAGACUAAUUAUAUUCAAAGAGUGUAAACGGAGUUAGCAGCCGAUGUUGACAGAAACCAUACUUUAUAGAGAACAUUCCAUUGCUAAUGAGUGAUAGGGCGCUCCGAUGGGUCACUACUUUACAUCCACAAAAAAAGGGGGAGGAAGGGCAUAUGAGAUUUAUUGGGAAGCAAUCUUGUAACAGUGAACAAUAGCCAAAAAAUGAGACACAAAAAUACAUCAGUAGCCUCACAGAGAACAGAAAUGAAAAGACAAUGUAGGUAUUGAAAGAGGGUGGGUGCCCAGUGGAAAGAAGUUGCAUGACCAAAACUGAAAAUGUCAGAUCAGGACCAUAAAACCAAUAUUUUUACUAAAAAUGGUCUCCAGAGCCAUUUAUUCUUACCUGUAUAAUUUAUACACACAUCUGAGCAAGUAAUUAGAUAAACAAUGUUAUGCACCAGGAUUGUGGUAAAUGGAAAGUUAACAGUUAAAAAUCACAGGAUAAGUUAGAGUCAAAUGCAUUUGAUACACCGGCAUUACAAAAAGCAGGAAUGCCUCUCCAAUCCUCUCUUCUCAUAGUUCCACUCCCACAGCCCCAGCCACCCUGGCACCUUUCCAGGACUCUCCCACCUUCCUACCACCCAGAACAAUGUCUUGGACCCCACUCCAUCUCUACCUUCUGACCAGCAGUGUCCAUGCUCCUGCCUUACUAGCUGUUAAAUAUUUUAAUAUUACCCUUCCCGUCAGCCCCCAGAAUCUGUGCACCUGUACACACUCUCUCCAGAGAUCUGGGCGAAUAGAGUUGAUGACUGAGCCCGCACUGAUUUCACUCCAAGCCUGUUUUCUCUGGGCUUGUUCUUCCUCACAGGUCAGCGAUGCUAAUUGCUGUUGUAGCAGGAUCCCAGCUCUCAUUACUGCACAGCACAAACUCAAUCAGCCCUUUAGUACGGUAGCAUCCUUCCCUUCUGCAGCAUUUGGAUCUGCACAAGCUGAGACAAGUUAGGAGAAGAAAUCAGAAUGAAGGCGCCAGCAAACCACUUCCCAGGAAGGAGUCCCCAGUACAAUUGUUAUCAAAAUCGCCAUUAUAGGAGCCCGCCCAGUGGCGCAGCGGUUAAGUUCCUGUGCUGUACUUUGGUGGCACAGGGUUCGCAGGCCCGGAUCCUGGGCGUGGACCUACUCACCACUCAUCAAGCCAUGCUGUGGCAGGCAUCCCACAUAUUAAACAGAGGAAGAUGGGCACGGAUGUUAGCUCUGGACCAAUCUUCCU
RNAcentral lists this long non-coding RNA (1371 nucleotides) under Equus caballus (horse). Its description in RNAcentral is "lncRNA (ENSECAG00000046256.1)". Lineage: Eukaryota; Metazoa; Chordata; Mammalia; Perissodactyla; Equidae. The record is from RNAcentral.